This 561-nucleotide ribosomal RNA is filed under the name uncultured bacterium. RNAcentral describes it as "bacterial SSU rRNA". It matches the Rfam family "Bacterial small subunit ribosomal RNA", at positions 337 to 916 of the family's 1533-position model. The record is from RNAcentral.
GCCUACGGGAGGCAGCAGUGGGGAAUCUUGGACAAUGGGCGCAAGCCUGAUCCAGCCAUGCCGCGUGAGUGAUGAAGGCCUUAGGGUCGUAAAGCUCUUUCGCCAGGGAUGAUAAUGACAGUACCUGGUAAAGAAACCCCGGCUAACUCCGUGCCAGCAGCCGCGGUAAUACGGAGGGGGUUAGCGUUGUUCGGAAUUACUGGGCGUAAAGCGCGCGUAGGCGGGUUGCUAAGUUAGAGGUGAAAUCCCGGGGCUCAACCCCGGAACUGCCUUUAAUACUGGCAACCUAGAGUUCGAGAGAGGUGAGUGGAAUUCCGAGUGUAGAGGUGAAAUUCGUAGAUAUUCGGAGGAACACCAGUGGCGAAGGCGGCUCACUGGCUCGAUACUGACGCUGAGGUGCGAAAGUGUGGGGAGCAAACAGGAUUAGAUACCCUGGUAGUCCACACCGUAAACGAUGAAUGCCAGUCGUCGGGUAGCAUGCUAUUCGGUGACACACCUAACGGAUUAAGCAUUCCGCCUGGGGAGUACGGUCGCAAGAUUAAAACUCAAAUGAAUUGACGG